RNAcentral lists this ribosomal RNA (405 nucleotides) under Bacillus sp. MRMR6. RNAcentral's name for it is "bacterial SSU rRNA". It matches the Rfam family "Bacterial small subunit ribosomal RNA", at positions 1 to 394 of the family's 1533-position model. The record is from RNAcentral. Lineage: Bacteria; Bacillati; Bacillota; Bacilli; Caryophanales; Bacillaceae.
UUUCAUGGAGAGUUUGAUCCUGGCUCAGGACGAACGCUGGCGGCGUGCCUAAUACAUGCAAGUCGAGCGAAUCUUGAGGUGCUUGCACCUCUUGGUUAGCGGCGGAUGGGUGAGUAACACGUGGGCAACCUGCCUGUAAGACUGGGAUAACAUCGGGAAACCGAUGCUAAUACCGGAUAAUCCUUUUCCUCUCAUGAGGGAAAGCUGAAAGUCGGCUUCUCGCUGACACUUACAGAUGGGCCCGCGGCGCAUUAGCUAGUUGGUGAGGUAACGGCUCACCAAGGCGACGAUGCGUAGCCGACCUGAGAGGGUGAUCGGCCACACUGGGACUGAGACACGGCCCAGACUCCUACGGGAGGCAGCAGUAGGGAAUCUUCCGCAAUGGACGAAAGUCUGACGGAGCAA